GACGAACGCUGGCGGCGUGCCUAAUACAUGCAAGUAGAACGCUGAAGGAGGAGCUUGCUCUUCUGGAUGAGUUGCGAACGGGUGAGUAACGCGUAGGUAACCUGCCUGGUAGCGGGGGAUAACUAUUGGAAACGAUAGCUAAUACCGCAUAACAGUAGAUGUUGCAUGACAUUUACUUAAAAGGUGCACUUGCAUCACUACCAGAUGGACCUGCGUUGUAUUAGCUAGUUGGUGGGGUAACGGCUCACCAAGGCGACGAUACAUAGCCGACCUGAGAGGGUGAUCGGCCACACUGGGACUGAGACACGGCCCAGACUCCUACGGGAGGCAGCAGUAGGGAAUCUUCGGCAAUGGACGGAAGUCCGACCGAGCAACGCCGCGUGAGUGAAGAAGGUUUUCGGAUCGUAAAGCUCUGUUGUAAGAGAAGAACGAGUGUGAGAGUGGAAAGUUCACACUGUGACGGUAUCUUACCAGAAAGGGACGGCUAACUACGUG
RNAcentral lists this ribosomal RNA (495 nucleotides) under uncultured bacterium. Its description in RNAcentral is "partial 16S ribosomal RNA". It matches the Rfam family "Bacterial small subunit ribosomal RNA", at positions 28 to 507 of the family's 1533-position model. The record is from RNAcentral.